This 484-nucleotide ribosomal RNA is filed under the name uncultured bacterium. RNAcentral describes it as "partial 16S ribosomal RNA". It matches the Rfam family "Bacterial small subunit ribosomal RNA", at positions 30 to 507 of the family's 1533-position model. The record is from RNAcentral.
AUUGAACGCUGGCGGCAGGCCUAACACAUGCAAGUCGAGCGGAUGAAGGGAGCUUGCUCCUGGAUUCAGCGGCGGACGGGUGAGUAAUGCCUAGGAAUCUGCCUGGUAGUGGGGGAUAACGUCCGGAAACGGGCGCUAAUACCGCAUACGUCCUGAGGGAGAAAGUGGGGGAUCUUCGGACCUCACGCUAUCAGAUGAGCCUAGGUCGGAUUAGCUAGUUGGUGGGGUAAAGGCCUACCAAGGCGACGAUCCGUAACUGGUCUGAGAGGAUGAUCAGUCACACUGGAACUGAGACACGGUCCAGACUCCUACGGGAGGCAGCAGUGGGGAAUAUUGGACAAUGGGCGAAAGCCUGAUCCAGCCAUGCCGCGUGUGUGAAGAAGGUCUUCGGAUUGUAAAACACUGUAAGUUGGGAGGAAGGGAAGUAAGUUAAUACGUUGCUAUUUUGACGUUACCAACAGAAUAAGCACCGGCUAACUUCGUG